AUCCCCUAAAGCAUCCUCAUGAGCAGAAACCUCAGAUCUGGCCUGGGCCAGUGGCUCACUCACACUAAAGAUGGGUCACCAUGAGUUCUGAAGUAUCCUAAAAAGGGGCUUGAACUCCACUUGGGGUGGGUCAGUGGAGAGCUGCUCUAAGCAGUCAGUGUCCCGCAGAGAAUGAAGAUUUCAUUGACAAACCCAAAGACAAGGAAGAGAAAGGAGACUGACAACCGGGUGAAGGGGAAGUAACCACCAAGAAAUGCCUGGAAGAAGGUGACGACCCCCUAGCGGGAGGAGGGCAGGGAAGCAGAGGCGGGCGGAAGGCUGGUCUAAGAGUGGAGGUAGCCCAAGAGUGAUACUGGCUGGGUCAGAGAAGUCGGUGGGCCCGAUCCGACGGAUACACAUACACG
Molecule: long non-coding RNA, 404 nt
Filed under: Mus pahari (shrew mouse)
Lineage: Eukaryota; Metazoa; Chordata; Mammalia; Rodentia; Muridae
Description: lncRNA (MGP_PahariEiJ_G0003782.1)
Source: RNAcentral